GAUGAACGCUGGCGGCGUGCCUAACACAUGCAAGUCGAACGGACUUAUAACGAAACCUAGUGAAUUAUAAGUUAGUGGCGGACGGGUGAGUAACGCGUGGAAAACCUGCCGUAUACUGGGGGAUAACACUUAGAAAUAGGUGCUAAUACCGCAUAAGCGCACAGCUUCGCAUGAAGCAGUGUGAAAAACUCCGGUGGUAUACGAUGGUUCCGCGUCUGAUUAGCUAGUUGGUGAGGUAAAAGCCCACCAAGGCGACGAUCAGUAGCCGGCCUGAGAGGGUGAACGGCCACAUUGGGACUGAGACACGGCCCAG
RNAcentral lists this ribosomal RNA (313 nucleotides) under uncultured bacterium. RNAcentral's name for it is "bacterial SSU rRNA". It matches the Rfam family "Bacterial small subunit ribosomal RNA", at positions 28 to 334 of the family's 1533-position model. The record is from RNAcentral.